AGUGAACGCUGGCGGUAGGCCUAACCCAUGCAAGUCGAACGGCAGCACAGUAAGAGCUUGCUCUUACGGGUGGCGAGUGGCGGACGGGUGAGGAAUACAUCGGAAUCUACUUUUUCGUGGGGGAUAACGUAGGGAAACUUACGCUAAUACCGCAUACGACCUACGGGUGAAAGCAGGGGAUCUUCGGACCUUGCGCGAUUGAAUGAGCCGAUGUCGGAUUAGCUAGUUGGCGGGGUAAAGGCCCACCAAGGCGACGAUCCGUGGCUGGUCUGAGAGGAUGAUUAGCCACACUGGAACUGAGACACGGUCCAGACUCCUACGGGAGGCAGCAGUGGGGAAUAUUGGACAAUGGGCGCAAGCCUGAUCCAGCCAUACCGCGUGGGUGAAGAAGGCCUUCGGGUUGUAAAGCCCUUUUGUUGGGAAAGAAAAGCAGCAGGUUAAUACCCCGCUGUUCUGACGGUACCCAAAGAAUAAGCACCGGCUAACUUCGUG
Molecule: ribosomal RNA, 492 nt
Filed under: uncultured bacterium
Lineage: Bacteria
Description: partial 16S ribosomal RNA
Rfam family: Bacterial small subunit ribosomal RNA
Source: RNAcentral